Molecule: ribosomal RNA, 402 nt
Filed under: uncultured bacterium
Lineage: Bacteria
Description: bacterial SSU rRNA
Rfam family: Bacterial small subunit ribosomal RNA
Source: RNAcentral
UAGGGAAUAUUAAUAAUGGGCGAAAGCCUGAACUAGCGACACCGCGUGUGCGAAGAAGGCCUUCGGGUUGUAAGCACCUUUAGAGAGGAUGAGGAAGGCCGGUACUCUCUGAAUAAGUCUCGGCCAACUACGUGCCAGCAGCCGCCGUAACACCUUGGAGGCAAACGUUAUCCGGAUUUACUGGGUGUAAAGCGCGUGUAGGUGGUUCUGUAAGUAGGGCGUGAAAGCUCCCGGCUCAACUGUGAGAGGCCGUUCUAAACUGCAGAGCUAGAGGAUGGUAGAGGGAGGUGGAAUUCCGGGUGUAGCGGUGGAAUGCGCAGAUAUCCGGAGGAACACCAGUGGCGAAGGCGACCUCCUGGGCCACUCCUGACACUCAGACGCGAAAGCUAGGGUAGCAAACGG